AAUGAACGCUGGCGGCAGGCCUAAAACAUGCAAGUCGAACGCUCUAGCAAUAGAGAGUGGCGCACGGGUGAGUAACACGUGGGAAUAUGCCUUUUGGUACGGAACAACCUCGGGAAACUGAGGCUAAUGCCGUAUGGUCCCUUCGGGGUAAAGAUUUAUCGCCAAAAGAGUAGCCCGCGCUGGACUAGCUAGUUGGUAAGGUAAUGGCUUACCAAGGCGACGAUCCAUAGCUGGCUUAGAGGACGAUCAGCCACACUGGGACUGAGACACGGCCCAGACUCCUACGGGAGGCAGCAGUUAGGAAUAUUGGACAAUGGGCGCAAGCCUGAUCCAGCCAUGCCGCGUGAGUGAUGAAGGCCUUCGGUUGUAAG
Molecule: ribosomal RNA, 371 nt
Filed under: uncultured bacterium
Lineage: Bacteria
Description: bacterial SSU rRNA
Rfam family: Bacterial small subunit ribosomal RNA
Source: RNAcentral